This is a long non-coding RNA of Humulus lupulus (European hop), 1084 nucleotides long. RefSeq lists it as uncharacterized. The transcript has 3 exons. The record is from RefSeq and is a predicted model, not a curated record. Lineage: Eukaryota; Viridiplantae; Streptophyta; Magnoliopsida; Rosales; Cannabaceae.
CUCAUCUCCUUCUUUCUCUCUCGUACAUAUUCUUCCCUUCAUUUUCCUUUGAAUUUUGAGAACCCAAACCGAGGCAACAACCUAGGAGAUUAAAGGUGGGAGCUUAGAAACUUAGUUCAACCAUUGAAGAGGGUUUAAUCUCAAGUUUGAGGUGACCGCUAAAGGACUAAAAGUUGAUCGUUCUCAAGGGUCGUUCUUUUAAUCAUUCUACCUCGAAUCUGAGGUAAAGGCAAAAGAAAGCUGGACCAUCCUUGAGUUGGAGAGCUUAGGUGAUGACGUGUACAUAUGCAGCUGCUCAUCCGCCACGGCCGAGGUUUAAAGGGGAACUAGGGUGAAACCCUAUUUUCCCGCAUAGAUCGGCCUGUUGUAAAUAUUUUCUUGUAGCAAACUCUGAAAUUAUAAUUUUGGGAUCCCAAUAUAUAUAUUAGAUGUUCUAAUGAAACAUUAUAUCUUAUCCAAAAAUUUUAAUCCCUAAACCGCUAAUGAUACUUAGUUACACGAUUUUGGCCAAAUGACUCAAUUAGCGAGUUUAGCACUGUUUACAAGGCACACCGUAACGGUCCUUGGAGUUGGGGCGUUACAUUUUUGUUUAAACUUUCUCUGUUUUGUUAGAGUUUUGGAAUUGGAACUUAGGUGAUUGAAUUUAGGAUAUGAUGAGGCUUUCUGUUGGAUUUCUGGAUGUUAAAACUAGUUAUGUUGUUUGGAUAUGAAUCCUAGGAGAAAUUCUAGGAUUAAGGCUUGGAAUUAGUAAGUUUCAGGGAGGUUAGCUUAUUAAAAUGAAUGGGAAAUCUGGGUUUGGAGGCUCGAGCCGCAGCCCUAUUCUUCAAGCGCUGUGGCCCGUGUGUGUCGAAGAGGCUGGAAAGCCUCUGUUUGCCUAGGUGCGUCGCGGCGCAAGGUAUAGUGCACCACGACCCAUGUCCCUCAGUAGAGAGGCAUUUUUGCCUCUGACUUGAGCGCGUCGUAGCCCUUAAGGGGCUGGGUCGCGGCUCAAAUACAAGAUAUUGGCUGUUUGAAGGAUUUUAGCUCGGGAACCCAAAUGUUAAGGCUCGGGAAAAAUUUUACCACCCGAUUUGGUAGAAUCCAA